Apodemus sylvaticus (European woodmouse) is the source of this 843-nucleotide long non-coding RNA. RefSeq lists it as uncharacterized. The transcript has 3 exons. The record is from RefSeq and is a predicted model, not a curated record. NCBI's taxonomy places the organism in Eukaryota, Metazoa, Chordata, Mammalia, Rodentia, Muridae.
UGACUAAAAUCUCAUUUUUUACCCGAAGGGAUAGUUGUAUACUAUAUAACAGUCAGACAGAGGUGGUCCAGCCCUUCCUUGUACAUACAUACAGAAGGGAUAGUUGUAUACUGUAUAACAGUCAGACAGAGGUGGUCCAGCCCUUCCUUGUACAUACAUACAGAAGGGAUAGUUGUAUACUAUAUAACAGUCAGACAGAGGUGGUCCAGCCCUUCCUUGUACAUACAUACAGAAGGGAUAGUUGUAUACUAUAUAACAGUCAGACAGAGGUGGUCCAGCCCUUCCUUGUACAUACAUACAGAAGGGAUAGUUGUAUACUGUAUAACAGUCAGACAGAGGUGGUCCAGCCCUUCCUUGUACAUACAUACAGAAGGGAUAGUUGUAUACUAUAUAACAGUCAGACAGAGGUGGUCCAGCCCUUCCUUGUACAUACAUACAGAAGGGAUAGUUGUAUACUAUAUAACAGUCAGACAGAGGUGGUCCAGCCCUUCCUUGUACAUACAUACAGAAGGGAUAGUUGUAUACUAUAUAACAGUCAGACAGAGGUGGUCCAGCCCUUCCUUGUACAUACAUACAGAAGGGAUAGUUGUAUACUAUAUAACUGUCAGACAGAGGUGGUACAACCCUUCCUUGUACAUACAUACAGAAGGGAUAGUUGUAUACUAUAUAACAGUCAGACAGAGGUGGUCCAGCCCUUCCUUGUACAUACAUACAGAAGGGAUAGUUGUAUACUGUAUAACAGUCAGACAGAGGUGGUCCAGCCCUUCCUUGUACAUACAUACAGAAGGGAUAGUUGUAUACUAUAUAACAGUCAGACAGAGGUGGUCCAGCCCUUCCUUGUAC